This 680-nucleotide long non-coding RNA is filed under the name Marmota monax (woodchuck). The record is from RNAcentral. Lineage: Eukaryota; Metazoa; Chordata; Mammalia; Rodentia; Sciuridae.
ACAACAAAUAAAAAAUAACUCUCCUACUUUCUCCUGAAGCAGGAGGAUUGCAAGUUUGAGACCAACUUGGCAACUCCAUGAGAUCCUUAGCAACUUAGUAAGACCCUUCCUGAAUAUAAAGUGCCCCUUGGUUUAAUCUCUAGUACCACAAAAAACAAUUGUGAGUGUUAUAGGUAUUUGGAAAAAAUUUCUUAAAGAGUGGCAUUUGAAUUGAUUUUAGAGAGAUGACUGUUUUCAGCAGAUCAAGGAUGGAAGGAAGGAUUUUAUGGGUUAAUUAAUUAAUUUAAGUUGACACAGGUGGAAUAGCAUAGAACAUAUUUGGAAGAUGACUGGAAGUCUAUGUUGGUAAUAAUGUGGGAUGAGAGGGUUUAAUUGAAGAUGAUGCUAUGUCUAAUGUGUUAAGGAAUUUGGACUCUUAUUUUGUGAGUGGUUGAAAGCACUUGAAGUCAUUUUAUUCUAUCAGAGCUGAUAUCAUCCAGUUUGUAUUUUUGGGAGGUUACCCUAGGUUGACUAAGAAGUGGUUGGUGUGAUGGUAGUUAGGAGCAUGAUAUUGGGAGUCAUUUCUCCUGGGUCACCUCCUGGCUAUCUCACCCUGGCUAAUUUAGGUAAUCUGACCAAUCCUGAGAUUACUCAUCUGCAAAAUGAGAAUAAUGAUAGUACCUACCUUCUAGACCUGCUAU